RNAcentral lists this ribosomal RNA (498 nucleotides) under uncultured bacterium. RNAcentral's name for it is "partial 16S ribosomal RNA". It matches the Rfam family "Bacterial small subunit ribosomal RNA", at positions 899 to 1397 of the family's 1533-position model. The record is from RNAcentral.
ACUCAAAUGAAUUGACGGGGGCCCGCACAAGCGGUGGAGUAUGUGGUUUAAUUCGAUGCAACGCGAAGAACCUUACCAAGGUUUGACAUCCUGAGAAGUCCGAUGAAAGUUGGAUGUGCCGCAAGGAACUCAGAGACAGGUGGUGCAUGGCUGUCGUCAGCUCGUGUCGUGAGAUGUUGGGUUAAGUCCCGCAACGAGCGCAACCCUCGAUGCCAGUUGCUAGCAGGUAAAGCUGAGCACUCUGGCGUGACUGCCGGUGACAAACCGGAGGAAGGUGGGGAUGACGUCAAGUCAUCAUGCCCCUUAUGCCUUGGGCUACACACGUACUACAAUGGCCGGGACAGAGGGCAGCAAAACCGCGAGGUGGAGCCAAUCCCCAAACCCGGUCUCAGUUCAGAUUGGAGGCUGCAACUCGCCUCCAUGAAGGCGGAAUCGCUAGUAACCGCAGGUCAGCAUACUGCGGUGAAUACGUUCCCGGGCCUUGUACACACCGCCCGU